This 437-nucleotide long non-coding RNA is filed under the name Pan troglodytes (chimpanzee). RNAcentral's name for it is "long non-coding RNA NONPTRT005243". Lineage: Eukaryota; Metazoa; Chordata; Mammalia; Primates; Hominidae. The record is from RNAcentral.
GGGGUAUUCUGGUUGCCUUACCCAGCUCUGAAGUCUGUCAGCCUCUUCAGAUGUCACUUGCCCUGUGGUAAGGAAGUGUAGUUGGCAGCUGGUGCAGUGGCAAGAAGAGAAAGGAAGUUCCCCAAGACAGAAACAUCUCGGCAGGUUUGGAAUAGUUCACCAGUGAAGUCAUCUCAACCAGCACAGGGCCUUGACUCCUAACAACAAUCACACGAACUUGGAAGAGGAGCCUUCCCCACCUGAACCUUCACUUGAGACUUUGUCCUUGGCCAUCAUCUACAUCUGGAUUCGUGAUACAGAGAAACUUGAGUAAUGAUGACAAUAGCAGUCCAGCCUGCAUGGAUGCUGACAUGGAUGCUGUCUCCCAUUCUUACCACUGGAUGUGAAGAAAUGCUAGAUGCAAUCAAUCCAAUCUGUACUCGACUCUCAGUUGCAUC